RNAcentral lists this ribosomal RNA (1068 nucleotides) under uncultured eukaryote. RNAcentral's name for it is "SSU rRNA". It matches the Rfam family "Eukaryotic small subunit ribosomal RNA", at positions 577 to 1674 of the family's 1831-position model. The record is from RNAcentral.
CGGUAAUUCCAGCUCCAACAGUGUAUAUUAACACUGCUGCAGUUGAAACGCUCGUAGUUGGGAAUUUGUUGUAUAAUAUUGGUCUAUCCUAGAGGUCAGUACUUUAUAUGAAUGCAGCAUCGUCUUGAUUAUCUUUCUACACUUAACUGUGUAUUUUGUUGAAUCAAUCCGUAUACUUUGAAGAAAUGAGAGUGUUUCAAGCAACUUUAUUUAAGGAUAUAUUAGCAUGGAAUAACACAUUACGACCUCAUAUUGUGUCUGUUGGUUGCCGAGAUCGGGUAACAAGGAGGAGGAUAAUUGGUGGUAUUUAUAUUGCACAGUCAGAGGUGAAAUUCUUGGAUUUUUGCAAGAUGAUCGAUUGCGAAAGCAUUUGUCAAGAGUGUUUUUAUUGAUCAAGAACGAAAGUUAAGGGAUCGAAGACGAUCAGAUACCGUUGUAGUCUUAACCGUAAACCAUGUCGCCUAGAAAUUGGCGGGUAUAUAUUAUCAUCCCGUCAGCAACUUGAGAGAAAUCACAGUUUUUGGAUUCCGGGGGGAGUAUGAUCACAAGAUUGAAACUUAAAGGAAUUGACGGAAAGGCACCACCAGGGGUGGAGCGUGCGGCUUAAUUCGACUCAACACUGGAAAAUUUAUCAGGUCCAAACAUAGAAACGAUUGACAGAUUGAUUGGCUUUUCUUAAUUCUGUGGGUGGUGGUGCAUGGCCGUUCUUAGUUGGUGGAGUGAUUUGUCUGGUUAAUUUCGAUAACGAUCGAGAUCUUGACCUGCUAAAUAGAUGCAAGAUGUAUAUAUAAUCGUGUGAACUUCUUAGAGGAAACAUUUGUGUAAAGCAGAAGGAAGAUUAAGGUAAUAACAGGUCUGUGAUGCCCUUAGAUGUCUUGAGCUGCACGCGCGCUACACUGAAGCACUUCACAAGGAAUUCAUCUGGUUUGAAAGGAGUGGGAAAUCUUAUCCCUGUGCCUCGUGAUGGGGCUUGUUCAUUGUAAUUAUUGAACAUUAACGAGGAAUCCCUAGUAAGUGCAUAUCAUCAAUCUGUUCUGACUAAGUCCCUGCCCCUUGUACACACCGCCC